This 281-nucleotide long non-coding RNA is filed under the name Bos taurus (domestic cattle). Its description in RNAcentral is "long non-coding RNA NONBTAT023402". Lineage: Eukaryota; Metazoa; Chordata; Mammalia; Artiodactyla; Bovidae. The record is from RNAcentral.
AGUUAACUUCACUACAUUCACAUAAAAAUAUAAUAUGCCAAAUGGCAUUUGAAAUAAAAUUUAAAACCCUAGAAUUCUUUCUUCAAAGAAAAGCGUCACUGGAAAUGAGGUAUGUAAUAAAAGCUGGGUAGGUUUCUCUGUGCUAAAUCCCAGCUUCUGGAGUUAUCACUAUAGUUCCUGACAGUUCUUCAGAGUAGUUUCAAAAACAUUACUACAAUAGUCAACUGCUCAGAUACCACAAUACAGAUAAGGACAUCACUCCCGCUACAACUGCUGGAUGG